UCUACAUCUGCCUCUUUCACUAUGAAUAAUAACCAAAAAUAAUAACCAUGGAUAACCACUGACCUACCAACACAAUUACAUUUAAUUAAAUUCAAUACGUUUAUUUUUACAGCAAUGGACAUUGUCUCAGCGCAGCUUUACAGUAUGUUAGAAUUAUUGAAUAAAAACGUUUUAUACAUUUAUUCACAAUGUGCAGCCCGGGGUGACAGUGGCAAGGAAAAACUCCAUUAGAAGGUAUAAGGAAGAAACCUUAAGCAUGACCAGACUCAAAAGUAGGCAACCCAUCCUUAUUUCAGUGACAAUUAAAAAUUUCUCCAAAAGCACAAGAAGACUCUUCCAGGAGCUUAUAAAAGAACCUCCUGUAGGAACCUGUAAAAUAACCUGUAGGCCCCACUUGCCUAUAAGGUCGGUGUUCAUGAUUCAACAGAAAGAAAGAGACUGGGGUAAAAUGGCAUCCAAUGCAGGUGUGAAAAGCUUAUAGCAUCAUCAACAAAAAACACUUGAGGCUGCCAGAGGUUCUACAACUAAGUACUUAGUAAAGGUUCUGAAUAUUUAUGUGCACGUUAUAUCUCUUUUUUUUUUAUUUCAAGUUUUUUUCGCCCUUAUUCUUUGGUUCCUUCUGCUCUCAGAGCUCAUCAUCUGCUCUCACAUGCCCAAGUGGCUCCUUUUAUAGCUGAUUUAAUUUGUCAUUAUCGCAACGAGCUUUGAAUGAACUAUAUUCUGAAGCAUGCCAACAUUAGUAGAUUGCUUGUUAGAGCAUUAAAUAAAACACAGCAGUAGCUCUACCACUGUGUCUCACUGAAAGCUCAGAUCCCUCUCUUUAUCACAGAGCUCAUUAUGGACAGGAAGAAGACCCGCUGUCUCUCUACUGUCAUUUUCACGCUGGGAUUUUUCCACUGCCAUUUAACAUGCUGUUUGUACAGUGCCUUGAAUAUGCAUUCAGCUUGCCCACCUUUUUUUUUGUUCUUGUAGAUAAUGUGCAUUUCUGAGGCGGUCAAACCCCUACGUCCUACAUCCGAAGCUAAUCAAACUGCUUCCACUGUGGUAAGACAGAACCAGCAGCAUGUCCACGGUGUGAGGACAGAACAUGUCCAUUGUGUCAAGUCUUCUCUGUGAGGCCAUCAUUUUUGUCAGAAGAAGCUGCCAUGGCAGAAAAAAAGAUCAGGUGGUCUGCACAACACAUUUAAAAGUUCAUCAUAGUUAAAACACUUUUUACAAGAUAUUUCUCUGAUGUUCCUAGCAUGUGGUCCUGCUGGAACUGACCAUUCCCUUGAAAGAUUACAAAGAUAACAUAGAGUAUAAAGAACUGACCGAGGAGCCCUCAAAGACCCUACUGUAGCAGGCUCAUUUUAGCUCCUCUGAGUAACAUGGAUCUGGAUUAAAUGGGGUGAUCUGUGCUCCAUGAAAGGUUCUUGCACACAGUAAUGUUACAUUGGUAAUGGUAACAUUGGUAAUAAUUAAUGACCCAAAAUGCACUAAAGUCUAUCACUGAAGAUAUCUUCAAGUGCAUCAGACGAAUAAUGAUGAACAUUUUAGGGUCAUGAGGGUCAUUUUUGGUCCUCUGAGGAACAUGGCUCUUGUUUAAGAGCUGUGAUCUGUGCUAAUGACCCCUGGUCAUGAUUAAUGACCCAAAACACCCCAAAGUCCAUCAAUGAAAAUAUCUUCAAGUGCAACACACAAUUAAUGAAAAAAGCAGCAGGUAAUAUUGACUUUUUCACUGACUUUGGAACGUUUUGUGCUUUUGUUUAGGUCCAUGACACAUGCAGGUGCAAGCUUGGUAGUUAAGACUUUGGAUCCAAAGAUCAUAACUUUAAAUCCAAGCCACACCAAGCUGUCACUACUGGGCCCCUGAGCAAGGCCCUUAACUUUAUAUAUGCUCAGAUAAAUGAAUGAGAGAAAUUUAAGUCACUCUGAAUAAGGGCAUCUACCAAAUGGCAUAAAUGUAAGUGUAAAUAUGAGCUGGUGCCGGCUUCACUCCAUGUGCUUUUUAUAGCUUCCUGGUCAUGACGUCACCCCACCAGUCACCUUUCAUUGGACAGAUUACACACGUGAUUCAGAGCGUGGACAACGUGGAAGCAUUUCCAAAGCAUUGCAACGCAGCUCGAGUUCCUGAAAUGGAACCUGGUUUCCUGGUUGAGCAUAUCAGAAGGAAAAACUCUCCAAUCGGAAUUCGAAUGCAGGUCCAUGUUGUUCUGAACCCUGUAACACACUAAGAAAUGUAGUGAAUCUUUGGAAAAAGCCACCACAAGAUUCAUAAAGUAUUAAACUGUGGGAGCUGUUGAAGUGGUUAAAGUGAUGGACUUCUGAUCGGAAGGCUAGGCAGACAGAGAGCAGGAUGAAGCAGUCUCUCGAGGACGAGUGGCAGUCUGACAUGGUGAAGAACUAAACGAUCUGAGGAAUGUCAGAAAUAGGCACAGUAGAUCUGUAAAGGUUCGUUUACGGGGAGGAUAAAAGGGAAA
Molecule: long non-coding RNA, 2459 nt
Organism: Silurus meridionalis
Lineage: Eukaryota; Metazoa; Chordata; Actinopteri; Siluriformes; Siluridae
Exons: 4
Source: RefSeq, a predicted model, not a curated record